AAAAAUCUGAGUGGCUGGUAUAUUUUUUUUAUCUACCUGCCACAAUGGCUGGUGGACCAAAAAUACAAUUGUAUGCCCUGCUCCCCUUCCUUGCCAAGACUGGAAUGGACUGCUCUCUCCCAAUUCCAAACCCACCUGCUAAUCGAGCCCUUCCAGUCUGGUUUCCGCCUCCUCCGCAGUGCUGAAACUGCACUCCUCAAAGUUGUCAAUGACCUCCUCACCUCUGCUGAUGCCGGUGCCCAUCCUGAUUCUUCUCCAUCUAAGUUCCCGCCUUUGACACAGUGAGCCAUCAGAUCCUCCUCACCAGGUAACCUUGGCGUCAGCCUGGACUCUACCCUCUUCCACCUCUGCAACAUUGCCAAAGUCAAGACCUCCCUCUCCCGUGGGGGAUUAAGUGCCUUGCUCAAGGGCAGAACGUCAGGCAGUGGCCCAUAGGAUUAGAACUGGCUCGCCUCUAUCCGCUAGGCUACCUGCCGCACCAACCUACAAGCUCACUCCGUUCCACCACAGCAGGCCACCUUGACAUCCCCAGGUCCAAGCUCCAGAGCUUUGGCGACAGGGCCUUUUCCAGGGUUGCUCCUAGGCUCUGGAACUCCCUCCCUCCAGCCAUCCGUGAAUCUGAGUGCAUCACAGUCUUUCAGUCCCACCUCAUCUCUCUCUCUUUCAACAAGCAAACAGCUUUUCUCCAUGGGCUGCUCAUUCUUCCCCUUCGCUUAGUCAGUCUCACAAUUGCAGUAUAAACAUUCCUUUCUUUGGUCUGUGGAGCCCACUCUAAAAGAGACCCUUUAAUAGGUGCUGGAUAAAGGGCACUCAUGCCAGGGAAGCACAGCCUCCCCCUCCUUCCCACAGAUGAGGGGGCCCUAUAAUGAGAAGGCCAGUGAUAAACAAGACAGAGGGUCAGUCGCUAAGACAAUUAUAGGCAUCUCAAAUUAAAAUAGCUCCUUCUCGAAGGUUGGGUACGGGAUAGGCCUCCCCUAUCAGCCCUCAUCCCAGCCACAGAGCUCUUGUAGGGGCUCAACAAUGCCCAUGAUAUGAUCCCUACUGAGUAUGAG
Oncorhynchus tshawytscha (Chinook salmon) is the source of this 1052-nucleotide long non-coding RNA. The record is from Ensembl. Lineage: Eukaryota; Metazoa; Chordata; Actinopteri; Salmoniformes; Salmonidae.